RNAcentral lists this unclassified non-coding RNA (171 nucleotides) under plant metagenome. RNAcentral's name for it is "partial contains small subunit ribosomal RNA, internal transcribed spacer 1, and 5.8S ribosomal RNA". The record is from RNAcentral.
UUUCCGUAGGUGAACCUGCGGAAGGAUCAUUUCUGAUUGGGUGGGGCGGUUGGGCUUGUUCGGAGGGGGGCUUACGUUUUCACACAAACUUUGUAUGCAGUGUAGAAUGUAUUUUUUGUUUUUGCGAUCACGCAAUCAAUACAACUUUCAACAACGGAUCUCUUGGCUCUC